GGGAAUGUGGCUUAGUGGUAGAGUGCUUGUCUAGCAUGCAUGAAGCCCUGGGUUCGAUUCCUCAGUACUA
This 70-nucleotide transfer RNA is filed under the name Dipodomys ordii (Ord's kangaroo rat). It matches the Rfam family "tRNA". Rfam says of the family: Transfer RNA (tRNA) molecules are approximately 80 nucleotides in length. Their secondary structure includes four short double-helical elements and three loops (D, anti-codon, and T loops). The record is from Rfam by way of RNAcentral. Lineage: Eukaryota; Metazoa; Chordata; Mammalia; Rodentia; Heteromyidae.